GUCCUAGCCGUAAACGAUGGACACUGAGUGGAGGAGGGCUUGCCUUUCUCUGCUGCAGCUAACGCGUUAAGUGUACCGCCUGGGGAGUACGGCCGCAAGGUUAAAACUCAAAGGAAUUGACGGGGGCUCGCACAAGCGGUGGAGCAUGUGGUUCAAUUCGAUGCAACGCGAAGAACCUUACCCGGGCUUGAAGUGGAUGUGGUAGAAACCGGAAACGGUAACGACCCCGCAAGGGGAGCAUUCAUCAGGUGUUGCAUGGCUGUCGU
RNAcentral lists this ribosomal RNA (266 nucleotides) under uncultured bacterium. Its description in RNAcentral is "partial 16S ribosomal RNA". It matches the Rfam family "Bacterial small subunit ribosomal RNA", at positions 793 to 1055 of the family's 1533-position model. The record is from RNAcentral.